This 446-nucleotide ribosomal RNA is filed under the name uncultured bacterium. RNAcentral's name for it is "bacterial SSU rRNA". It matches the Rfam family "Bacterial small subunit ribosomal RNA", at positions 62 to 543 of the family's 1533-position model. The record is from RNAcentral.
UCGAACGAGAAGCCCGCAAGGGUGAGUAAAGUGGCGCACGGGUGAGUAACACGUGGGUAAUCUGCCUCUGGGUGGGGAAUAACUCUGGGAAACCGGAGCUAAUACCGCAUAAUCCUGAGAAGGAAAAGGAGAAAUCCGCCGAGAGAGGAGCCCGCGGCCGAUUAGCUGGUUGGUGAGGUAAAAGCUCACCAAGGCAAUGAUCGGUAGCCGGCCUGAGAGGGCACACGGCCACACUGGCACUGAAACACGGGCCAGACUCCUACGGGAGGCAGCAGUGGGGAAUCUUGCACAAUGGGGGAAACCCUGAUGCAGCGACGCCGCGUGAGCGAUGAAGCCCUUCGGGGUGUAAAGCUCUUUCGGCAGGGACGAUAAUGACGGUACCUGAAGAAGAAGCUGCGGCUAACUACGUGCCAGCAGCCGCGGUAAUACGUAGGCAGCGAGCGUUG